Molecule: long non-coding RNA, 1110 nt
Organism: Herpailurus yagouaroundi (jaguarundi)
Lineage: Eukaryota; Metazoa; Chordata; Mammalia; Carnivora; Felidae
Exons: 3
Source: RefSeq, a predicted model, not a curated record
CCUGGCCAGGGGGACCCGCACACAGCGUGGAAGGCCCAGAAGAGUCCUGUGAAGAUGGAAGUCAGAUCAUGCCCUCACCUUGCUCGUUCAGGCGUUUCCAGGAAUCACCGCCCACGUCAGUCACCUGCACUUGGAUCCUGUUUCGUGGUCUGCUUCGGGGGGACCCCAAACCGGGAAGAUGUGGCGCCUCGGUCUUUUCACCCUUCACAAGAAGGUAGGAGAGCCCUCGAGUCAGCCUGAGGCGUGGGGGGUUGUUGGAAGGCCCAGGGCCAGAGCAGGACAUCUGCGACACUCGAAACUCGAGUGCGGAGUGCUGGACCCAGCUCAGUGGCUGCAAGCGACAGAACCUCAUGGUAACAUCUCCCAGGACUGGAGGAGGCUGCAGGACGCUGAACCCUAGGGAUGGGGAUGGAGACUCAGGACCAGUGGGUCUCUCUCUCUCUCUCUCUGCCACUCUGCUCUGUGGACAUUCAGGGACCUUGUCCAUCAGGCAUUGACCUCCCCCCUCCCCCACCACUGUCACGCCUGUCCCCAUGCCUAAGUGCCCUGCCUUUUGCUUACAGACCUCGUCCUGCCCUCCAGCCCAGGCCUGCUCAGAUCUCUCCCCGGGAACUCUGAGCCUACACUCCAGCCACUGCCUGCAUUACUGCUCCCGACAGACUCAUCCCGAAUCCUGAGAUCUGAGCCCCUCCCAGUGGGGGCUUCCUUGGGGGGGAGUCUGGACCCCGGACUUCGGACUGGGAACAGGAGCAGCUCUGAUUGCCUCUGGCUGCUCAGGUCCCGGCUGGUCCCCAUCUCUCCUCCCACCUCCCAGGUGAGGUCCCAGGGGACUCACUGGAUGCCCAGAGGAAAAAGCUUGGAGCGAUCUGUCCAAACGCAGAUACAAUGGUGGCAUUUUCCAGACGGGCAGGGAACGUGUAACAGGCGUGGGCCCGGGUCUGCGUCCUAGCUCCCCGCGUCCCAGCUGUGUCUUCCUCGCUAAGCCCUUUCACCUCUCUGACCCGUGGUCUCCUCCUCUGGGAAGUAUGACAGCAAUGUCCAGCUUGCCUGUCUUCCCCCGCCCCCAACGUAUAAAUAAGAUGGGUUUUGUGCCUGUGCCUGGGAAGGUGG